Non-coding RNA from Picea glauca (white spruce), 121 nucleotides. The record is from Rfam. Lineage: Eukaryota; Viridiplantae; Streptophyta; Pinopsida; Pinales; Pinaceae.
ACAUGCUUACAACAUAGCGUUAAUGCAUCAAAUGUCAUUAGCAGUCCGCAGUUGAGUGCGUUCGGGAUAGAGUAGUACUAGGAUGGGUGACCGCCCAGGAAUUCCUAGUGUUUUACAUGCC